Long non-coding RNA from Oncorhynchus tshawytscha (Chinook salmon), 7294 nucleotides. Lineage: Eukaryota; Metazoa; Chordata; Actinopteri; Salmoniformes; Salmonidae. The record is from Ensembl.
UAGGUGGAGUCUCGUCAUGUUGGUCUUCUGACUGGUCCUGAAGAGUUGGAGGCGGGCCUGCUCUAGCCAGAGCAGGAGCCCCAUUGGUGCACAGCAAAGUCCUUUGCUCUUGGCACCCAACCAGUAGGGGGGGGUAGAGUGUGAGUGUACAGUGCUCAUGAAAUGUAUGUGUCAAGGAAGCGUGGAUUUAGGUGUUUCCUGUCUUUGCAGGAGUGCAUGCAAGGGUCAAUGUCAGUGAGAUAGUUUGGCACCCUAAGCUCGUUAGUGUUGCAGGCUGUUCUUUGUAGUUACAGGGGAUUAUAUUUGCGUGAUGGCAGCUGUGUGUCCUUCGGAUAAUCAUGUUAUUGCACGUAGGCUCUAAACUUGACUGAGGACACUGGGCCCAGAGUUAUCUGAGGGCAUCCGGUUUAACCAGAGCUUUGGUCUGCUAGUAAUGCUUGAUAUUUGAUUAUUUAUAUAACACUGGCCAAAAGUGAUCCUCUAUCACAGUUUAAUACAAUUACAGAGUGAUCCCUAUCAUAGUUUAACUGCUAUUAGGCAGAGGGAACGAAAUUUAAGGAACAUCAAAGUAAAAUAAAUUAUAAGCGAGGAUAAAAACACUGAUGUGAUAAAGUGGUAAGCGACUGCAGUAAGAAUAAUAAAAAGGUGUCAAAACAAAUAAUAAAUAAAAAUAAUUAAAGAAGCAUUAACCGAAUAGUAUAAAACGAAUAGAACAGGGUGCAACAAAAGAGAAAGCAGAAUCGCCAAUAAACUGAAAUUAUACUAUAACGAUUAAAACAAAUCUAGGUUAGUUAAGAUAAAGAGUGAUAAAUAAGUCAAAUCCAGGACACAUUAAGAAUUCAUAAACAGUGUAAACGGAGUAAGAGGAAAAAACAGGAGAGACUACGGUCUAAAAAUAGCCUGAAGGGCAGAGAGGGUUGCAAAAUAUUGUGGUCAGGGUAAGAAAGGAAAGAAGAGAGGCUUGCCUCAUUAAUAAAUUGACCAUAGUAUCAAAACAACAAGAAUAUAAAUAAAGAGAUAAGAAAGUGUAGACAUUAUAACGUAGGCUUUGAUAGGAGAAAUUAAGUGACGUGACUAAUAAAUUAUUAUUUGGGAAAGUAGGGUAGCUCUACCUUGGAAAAUAGUAAAUAUAAUGUGUAUAAUGCGAUGGGAGUGUUUAGGAAAAAUAAAUAGUGGCAUGGAAACAAAUGGACUGUUUCUCCCUGGAAUAUAGAGAUAGCGAAAUUUAAUAAAGCCAUAGAGUAGCUGAAAGAAGCGCACGUGAAUUCUAAUUCGGCUUGAAUAUGAAAGAGCAAACUGGAUAAUGGAGGACAACAUUACCCGGUAAACAGAAUAAAUAAAAUAAACGAUUCAGGGAGGCAAUUAGGAAUUGGAACAAUCACAUAAAACCAUAAUAAGAAGCUCAAUUUACCAGCGUUCUGAUGUCAGCAUUCUAUCAUCAGAAAAAACAUUACUAUGGGGGACAGAUAUGAUUCUGCUUGCCCUCGCAGACGUGCGAGUGGUGUGCAGAGCUAUAGAAAAUAUCUAAGCGUAAAAAGUUGUAGAUGUGGAGCUAACAAGUAUGGGAAAAAUGAGUGUAAGAUGACACUGGAACUUAGUGCGGUAGCAGGAAAUGCCGCUAUAAAAGAGUUUGCAUCUUUGUCAAAAGAACAAACAACUAAUCGUUUUGAGGUUAGUAAGAAUGGAAUUUUCACCAAGAGGUGUAUAGUCUCUGAUCGAUCAAUAAGUGGUUCAAAGAGAUUACAAUUGAUAUGUGAUGAAAUACGUACUAGAUCACGUUUUACCUAACUUCUAGUAAGGUACCGAUGUGAUUUACAAAUAGCCCUACUUGAAAUCAUUUUGCAUUGAAACAACAGUUUUAGUGGUGAUAAAAUACGUGGAGAAGUUGUUAUUAGCGUCAAAAUACGGAAAAUAAACGUAUAUGAGAAAUCACAAAGGUGGGAAAAUUAGUUAGAAUAAAAGCAAAUUGUAAUAUAUGGGUGUUUUCAAUUUCUAAGGGUAAGAUACAGAUAACCGAGCAGGAAGAAACUAUGCGUUCUGUGCAUGGCUAAAACUUUUAUCGCAUGCUCAGGAAAAGUAAGGGGAUUUUAGUUUUGUUAGACAUUCUAUAGCGUCAUUUUCUGAAACUGCUAAGACGCUUAUAGAAUAAAAUCAAUAUAUAUGUAAUACUAUUGGCUUGCUGAUUUAAAAGGUAACAUUGUGAAUGUUAACGAAAUGUACAUUUCUUUUCCAGAAAAAAGGGGUUACAUUUUCUCUGGUCAAAAUGUCAUUGGAGACUGUGGUACUGAGGAAAGCAGUUAGAGAUAUUCGGCCACUUUAAAAGUCUUAGUAUCUGGAUAAGGCUAUAACUGGAGUUCCGGAUAAGUGAGGCCAGCUCUUGUGUGUUCUUGGCCUAUAUGAGAUAGUGGAUUUCCUUUGGAAGGGUUUUUUCAAUUCAGUUUCAAAUUGAGUAUGCAGAAGGAUGGAAAUGUUUUUGAAAAUUUAUUUAAAUUGUUUCUAAAGAAAAGAGAGUGGAAACAUUUUAAUGGUGUCAAUUGCCCUGAACCCUAAGAAUUUCCCAUGAAGACUGAUCAACUUCACUAGAAAUUGUUGGAACAGGUGGGAUUUAAUUAUAAAAUGAUUGAGAAACACCAGUCUCUAUUCAAAGUGUACCAUCACUUUGAAAUUAUAUUAUUUCCUUGGGAAAAGGAUGAAGAGUUGUAAUCUUAAAUUGACUAGUUAUUCAAAUAGACAUGCUGGAAUGAUAUGUGCUGGGAGAAGAAAGACUAAAGGGGAUUGGGGUAAUGACCUUUUAUUACCAGGCCACUCAUGACAGAAAAACAGAGGCAAAAGGGCGCAUGGUAAAAUAGAUAAUACUGGUACUAAAAGUUUUUAGUAUAAUGUUAAUUAUUAAAGGGAUGAUGUAUUGAAUUGAGAAGGUCAAAUUUGAGUUAAAGUAAGCACUAAGGACUGAUAUCCUGAAUAUUGGGUUGGACAAUUUAUAAACAACAUUUAGUUAUGUUUUGGAUAUAGGACUGUUUAAAUUUACUAGGCCUAGGGAAGCUCUGGAAACUAAUCCUGAGACAGGUUGAUUGACAGAACUUGCAGAAUAUUAGAUUAAAGGUUUUUGUUUCUUUUGUUUUACAAUGUCAUUGUAAUUGAAGUGAUGAAUUGGAAUGAUAUAAGUAAUUGAAUAAAAGGUAGUCUGUUGUGCGAUAACACCCAAGGAUGAAGAAGAAAGAGUCCAAUAUGGGCAUAGAACAAAAUGGAUGGAUGUUUUCCCCAGGUUUAAUUACAUUACAAAUAGUGGUAAUUUAUUGCAAAUAUGCAGUUAUUAUAAUUUACUUUACUAUUUGUCUUGUUUGGUCAAUUUAUUUUUGUUUUGAGGAAAAUAAGUGUGUAUAUUGUUCCUGAGGAGGGACUGAUAUAAAUAGACUAAAAAUAAUUUGAGAAUGUUUAAGUAUGUAUCAAACUAUGGAAGGAAAUUAGGAGUAAUGACUUAUGGGUUAGAAAAACUGUAACUACAUUGGGGGCUCAUAUAUGAAGGUUAUGGUAGCGGAGGGGUGUUAUUUCUAGAAACAAUGUAUAUUAAUAGACAAGAUAAUUCACAGAAAAGGAAGGACAGUUGGUCUUGUAAAAAUAUAGGGAUAUAAAAUAUAGGGACAAUUCUAAAAGUAAAUAGAACAUUACACAUACCUAGAUUAAGGUAAAAGUAAUAAGUAGUGGCAUUUUGAACACUAGAGCAAAAGUUUAAGAAGCUUAGGACUUAGUUUUGUUAGGAUUGGAUAUUCUUCCAACUGGAAAACACUUGACUGAUUACAUGUUAUUCUUACAGCAGUUGCUGUAGGGACCAUAAUUUGGCUAUCAUUAUGAAUAUUUUUGUGGCAGGAGGCCAGGUAUUUGAGACAGAAUGUUUACAUAGGGCUGUUAUUUUAAAAUUAAGAUUUAGUGAUCUUGCUAUAAGAAGAAAGUCUGUUGUCAGGAAAUAACCCAUGUGUUAGUGUGUAUAUCCCCAGGAAAAAACAGCACAUAAGAGGCCAGAUGGAAGGGCAUGGGCUGAAUUCUGGAGACUGAGUGUACAUCAAGAUACACCAGGCUGGGGAAAUACUUCUUACAGCACCUGCAGUGGUAAAGAUCGUCAUGUUUCUCUUUGAAAGAAGGCAGAAACCUGAACCAGGACGAGAGGUUCCACAUCUGAUGAUCCAAGGGGACCAGAAGGACCUCUCCCAGUGAUACCAGGAGAUCUGGUCUACGUUCGAGUGUUCCGAAGGAAGUGGGAUCAGCCGAGGAGAGAAGGACCCUACGAGGUGGCAACAGCCACAAACACGGCCGUCCAAGUGAAAGGAAGCAAGACGUCAUCUAAACCACUGCACACGAGUCCUGACGGAGAGAAGGACACAACCAUACAGAGAUGAGGACACAGAGGAUGCUGAUUCACCAGGCGGGAGCCCGGAGGGAGCAGGAGCAGCGGAAACGAUCAAAGCGCCGGGGAGGAAUCAAGAAAAUGUCAGACCAGAUACAAGCCAAGAUACAACGAGUGCAUCAACUAUGCUGAAAAGAGGCUGAAAAGAAAAGAGACAAACAACCAAAGCUUCCUCCAGUAAGGCCAGAAAGCCCAGAAAUGGGGGGGGUAGCAUGUCUGCUACUCCUGAUGAUAUACCUGUUGGGGCAGACCUUGUUGACGGAAGCCCUCUACAGUGGGACCCCGAGGUAUCGCCUAAAGAAUGGGAACAUCUCUUCCCUGAAAUGGACACCUUCCCAGAUGGAAGCCCAGUUCGGCCUGAGGAGGGAACAACAGGCGAAGAGAGUGGAGGAGAAGCCUUACCAAGAGCAGAAGGGGAGAUCUUGCAAGGAAGAACAGAAGUCCUGCAAGAUGAAAGAAAUGGGGAUUUCCCCACAAUUGACUUUCCAGCCCCUACCUGGUCUCCAAAAUGAACAAUUGAAAUUAGGACCACAAAAGAACAGUGACCAUGACAGAGUAAGAACAACCGAGGACAAUACGAAGAUGAUGCACGCACUCACGAUCAAGAUAAAUGAUAAAAACAGGAAGAGAAGAGAGGAAUCUGUCGAACGAGGUGAAAAGACAGGAUUUUUUGACAGGUUUAAAUUUUCUGUUCCGCCACAAAUUCUAACAGAACCAGGGGAACAAAAGACAGUUUCUGUAUGGAAGAAGAAACCCCUACCGGAAGAACCACUCUGUGGAUGGACACAUCAUCAAACAAAGGGAGAAGUUGUUUGGGACCCCAAAGGAUGUGACCUGACAUGAAUCAAAUAUGUGGAAGAGUGGGAGUUUAUCAUGAACAAGAUAACACCAGCAGAAGGUGAAGAAUUAAUAGUUUAAAUAACGAGAAGAAGAUUGACCGAAGGGAGUAGCACCUCGGUCAUUAGAAUUGGUCUUACGCCAAUACCUAAACAGGAAGAGCCUGUGGUAGCUAGAACGACAACAACAGUGGAAGCUGCUGUGAAGACCACAGUAGCUACCACUAAGAUAACAUCAACUGCCCUUACCAAGCAGUCCACUGUACUCACAAAGACAGCUAAAGCAUCAGAACCAGGAGGGUUCUUUACUGACAUUUGGAACUUUUUGACAAACUCUAAUGAUAUACCUCAAGACAAAAACAUUGUAAAAGCGACAUCUAUCUCAGAAUCAGAACCACUCAAGGACACCACACGAGAAGAAGUAGUGAAGAAUGAGUGGUACGAAUGGGCUAAGUAUACAGCAGAAAUAAACAUAGGAUGGACAAUUGUAUUUUGUGUAGAAAAUCACCACUGUCUGAUCUUUUGAUAGUACCUGAACUUGCAUCAUUUGAAGAAUGUGUUAAAUGUAAAAUGUUCGAUAUUCAGAGAAAAUACUACAUUCCUUUGUGUAACAUAGAAUGCAGUUUGGCACUAGGUAACACUAAAGGCAGAAGUGAAUUAAAUAAAGAUAUGCUGGGAGAACAUGAAUGUGCAACAUAAGAACGGAAUUGAAUGAUCCUCAGAAUGAUGGGUUUACUAUUGUAAAAAGAAAAGAAAAGGGGGAAUAAAUGAAUGUUUUUACAGCUAUGGAGAUAAUGGGAUGGAUGUGGGAAACACUAUAGUUAAUUGAAUAAACUAUUUGGGUGUUAGAAACUGCAGGAGUUAGUCAAUUUGAUAAAGUAAUGAUUGUAAAACACAAAGGUAAAAUGUGGUAAUAUCACACAAGUAACAUCAUAUCUUGAAAUGUUAAAGAAUCAGGAUUAAGGAAUAGCUGAUAGUUUCUGGAUGUGUGGGCAUACUACAUGCUCAUGCUUCAUCAAAAUGUAAUGCAUUAUUUUUAUUGUUUCUAUACCGAAUUAGAUCUUUUACUCUUAUGAAAUACUAGAGAUGUUUGGUCUAGUUAGGUUUUCUUUAAAUGUUUCUAAUUGGAUAUUUUACUCCUAUCUAUGUUAUUGUUUGGAGAUGUUUGGUCUAGUUGGGUUUUGUAAGUCUUUUAUGUUUCAAAUAGGAUCUGGAGAUGUUUGGUCCAGGUGAUUUGUAAGCUUUAUUUUUGUUAAUCAACUGUUGGUAUUAUGCUCCACCCUAUAUGUCCUUUUAGUGUAAUUUUUGGUGUUAAAUAAGCACCAGAGGAGGGUUUUGUGGGAGAAAGAUGUACAUAUAGGGAGGAACAUAAUACUGUAACACAAGAGAAAGAUACACUUAGAGUGCAUUUGCCAUUCUGGUAAAAUGCAUUGUCUAUUGUAUAGGACAGGAGGCCAGAGUAAGGCCAUGAGAGUAUAGGACAGCUGAACAUUAAAAACAGACCACACGAAGAGAAGACGACACAUAGGCGCCUAGGACAACUGGACACACAAGAUAGAGGAGACACAUAGUCUGCUGAUCCUAGAUAACACACAUACAAAAGAACGCAUUAAGCUAAGUGCAGGGCCAAAGCAAGCCUAUAGGAUAGAGGAAUGUAUAGUAUUUUUAGUAUAGCUGGACACGCUAAAAACAGAGAAGACACAUAGUCUGCUGAUCCUAGAUAACACACAUACAAAAGAACGCAUUAAGCUAAGUGCAGGAACAAAGCAAGCCUAUGGAAUAGAGGAAUGUAUAUUAUUUUUAGGACAAAGCAAGGGUCUUGCCACCAUUAUAAUCUGACGAAAAGCAGAUAUGGGCGUGAACAAGCAGGAAGCCUGAACUAAAAAGAGAAUGGUAGGCAGAAGAAUUAGGGGAAGUAUGUUUAUCUGCAUAUGGGUUGGACCCAUAUGCUAUAUGUGUAUAAAUACAGGAACCGGGGCUCUGGGAAGCGGGGUGUGUUCCGCAGACCACUCCGGCUUGCUUUAUGUUGUAUUAAAAGCCUAUAUUGAUUUCACAA